GUAGUCUGCAACUCGCCUGCAUGAAGUCGGAAUUGCUAGUAAUCGCAGAUCAGCAUGCUGCGGUGAAUACGUUCCCGGGCCUUGUACACACCGCCCGUCACACCAUGGGAGUCGGUAACACCCGAAGUCGGUAGCCUAACCGUAAGGAGGGCGCCGCCGAAGGUGGGAUUGAUGACUGGGGUGAAGUCGUAACAAGGUACC
RNAcentral lists this ribosomal RNA (201 nucleotides) under uncultured bacterium. RNAcentral's name for it is "partial 16S ribosomal RNA". It matches the Rfam family "Bacterial small subunit ribosomal RNA", at positions 1300 to 1500 of the family's 1533-position model. The record is from RNAcentral.